RNAcentral lists this long non-coding RNA (385 nucleotides) under Panax ginseng (ginseng). Its description in RNAcentral is "long non-coding RNA (PGIN_LNC017233)". The record is from RNAcentral. Lineage: Eukaryota; Viridiplantae; Streptophyta; Magnoliopsida; Apiales; Araliaceae.
CCUACUUAAUUAAUAAUGUUGUUACAUAUAUAGAGUAAAUAUAGAGGAAGCAUGUAAUAAAUUGUACAAAUUUAAUUCCCUACUUAAUCUACUACUACUUGGUUGCUAUGUAGUACUAGUAUAUAUAUCCUGGCCUGCUCCUCUCCGUUUAGGUGUAAGCACAUGCUACAAUUCAUAAACAUGCCUGUCCUGUUACAUUACAUGCACAUUUAUUAUUUUACAUGGAAAUAAAUGGCUAUUUGAUUAUGUUUGUUUCAAUUCUCUCUCAUGCAUGCAAUAAGUUCAUAUAUGCAUGCAAUUAAUCCUCUUACCCUACCAUGAGACUCAAAUGUUCCUUAAUAGUAUUUGUAUGAAUUGUAAGUUACAAUUACUAACACAAACGAAU